RNAcentral lists this long non-coding RNA (343 nucleotides) under Androctonus crassicauda. The record is from RNAcentral. Lineage: Eukaryota; Metazoa; Arthropoda; Arachnida; Scorpiones; Buthidae.
AGAAGACUUCAAACAGCUAUCUCUCUAACUCAAACAUGGUUGAAAGAUAAUGGCAUUGUCUGCUCAAGAGAGGACAAAACCAGGAAGUUUGUAUUAUUAAAUUGCAUGUAUUAUAGUGAGCUUAUACACAAGUUCUGCAAUUCCACAGAUUCCAUCGUAAUAAUGUCGACUCAACUAACUGGCUACAAUGUCAGAAUAAAAAAAUUUGUGACAAAUCCCACUUUGCUUGACUUUCUUAAAAACGCUGUCAUUAAAGUCCCUUUAUAUGUAUGCUUAAGAGCCUUUAUUAAAACACACAAAUCUCCUAUUAAAGCACAUGCAAUUAUUCAAUGUUUCAAGCCCC